GCGACCGCGCAAAGACGACGAAACACACACAAGUUGGCC
Molecule: ribosomal RNA, 39 nt
Filed under: Scolecobasidium tshawytschae
Lineage: Eukaryota; Fungi; Ascomycota; Dothideomycetes; Venturiales; Sympoventuriaceae
Description: Ochroconis tshawytschae partial 26S ribosomal RNA
Source: RNAcentral